Molecule: unclassified non-coding RNA, 259 nt
Filed under: Hevea brasiliensis (rubber tree)
Lineage: Eukaryota; Viridiplantae; Streptophyta; Magnoliopsida; Malpighiales; Euphorbiaceae
Source: RNAcentral
AUAUUGUAUCUAUAAUAAAAAAGAGAUUCUCAUCACCACCAAGGAAAAAAUCAAUAUAUGCAACCAUCAAGUCUGGUGUUGCUCCAACCUUCAUCCCUUUAUACAGUGCUCGUGAUCGGCAAGAGCGGAGACAAGAAUGGUCAUAUUCAGACUUGACAUAUUCCUGAAGUCGAUGAAUUUUAUUCCUCUGGCGCCACUGUUUCCAGGACCAGGCACAAGGAUAGGCAAGCACUGAAAGUAUGCUAUGGACUGAACCUUC